This 253-nucleotide ribosomal RNA is filed under the name uncultured bacterium. RNAcentral's name for it is "partial 16S ribosomal RNA". It matches the Rfam family "Bacterial small subunit ribosomal RNA", at positions 524 to 776 of the family's 1533-position model. The record is from RNAcentral.
UACGUAGGCAGCAAGCGUUGUUCGGAGUUACUGGGCGUAAAGAGUGUGUAGGUGGUCCUCUAAGUGUGGUGUGAAAUCUCCCGGCUCAACUGGGAGGGUGCGCCGAAAACUGGGGGGCUUGAGUGUGGGAGAGGAAAGCGGAAUUCCUGGUGUAGCGGUGAAAUGCGUAGAUAUCAGGAGGAACACCUGCGGUGUAGACGGCUUUCUGGGACGGUACUGACGCUGAGGAGCGAAAGCGUGGGGAGCGAACAGG